This 487-nucleotide ribosomal RNA is filed under the name uncultured bacterium. Its description in RNAcentral is "partial 16S ribosomal RNA". It matches the Rfam family "Bacterial small subunit ribosomal RNA", at positions 28 to 507 of the family's 1533-position model. The record is from RNAcentral.
GAUGAACGCUAGCGAUAGGCUUAACACAUGCAAGUCGCGGGGCAGCACAAGGUAGCUUGCUCUCUGGGUGGCGACCGGCGCACGGGUGCGUAACGCGUAUGCAACUUGCCCUAUACAGGAGGAUAACCCGUCGAAAGACGGACUAAUACUGCGUAUGCUCACAACUUGGCAUCAAGUGGUGAGGAAAGAAAUUCGGUAUAGGAUAGGCAUGCGUCCCAUUAGCUUGUUGGUGAGGUAACGGCUCACCAAGGCAACGAUGGGUAGGGGAACUGAGAGGUUUAUCCCCCACACUGGUACUGAGACACGGACCAGACUCCUACGGGAGGCAGCAGUGAGGAAUAUUGGUCAAUGGGCGCGAGCCUGAACCAGCCAAGUCGCGUGAAGGAUGACUGUCUUAUGGAUUGUAAACUUCUUUUAUACGGGAAUAACAAGAGUCACGUGUGACUCCCUGCAUGUACCGUAUGAAUAAGCAUCGGCUAACUCCGUG